GCUCACUUUGGCAGCACAAAAAUUGGAAUAAUACAGAGAAGAUUGGCAUGGCCACUGUGCAUGAAUGACACUCAAAUUCACGAAGUGGUACAUAUUUUU
This 99-nucleotide small nuclear RNA is filed under the name Rhinolophus ferrumequinum (greater horseshoe bat). The record is from RNAcentral. Lineage: Eukaryota; Metazoa; Chordata; Mammalia; Chiroptera; Rhinolophidae.